This 401-nucleotide ribosomal RNA is filed under the name uncultured bacterium. RNAcentral's name for it is "partial 16S ribosomal RNA". It matches the Rfam family "Archaeal small subunit ribosomal RNA", at positions 473 to 873 of the family's 1478-position model. The record is from RNAcentral.
ACACCGGCGGCCCGAGUGGUGAUCGUGAUUAUUGGGUCUAAAGGGUCCGUAGCCGGUUUGGUCCGUCCUCCGGGAAAUCUGAUAGCUCAACUAUUAGGCUUUCGGGGGAUACUGCCAGACUUGGAACCGGGAGAGGUAAGCGGUACUACAGGGGUAGGAGUGAAAUCUUGUAAUCCCUGUGGGACCACCUGUGGCGAAGGCGUCUUACCAGAACGGGUUCGACGGUGAGGGACGAAAGCUGGGGGCACGAACCGGAUUAGAUACCCGGGUAGUCCCAGCCGUAAACGAUGCUCGCUAGGUGUCAGGCAUGGCGCGACCGUGUCUGGUGCCGCAGGGAAGCCGUGAAGCGAGCCACCUGGGAAGUACGGCCGCAAGGCUGAAACUUAAAGGAAUUGGCGGGG